This is a ribosomal RNA of 556 nucleotides. It matches the Rfam family "Bacterial small subunit ribosomal RNA", at positions 59 to 596 of the family's 1533-position model.
CAGUCGAGCGAUGGAUUAAGAGCUUGCUCUUAUGAAGUUAGCGGCGGACGGGUGAGUAACACGUGGGUAACCUGCCCAUAAGACUGGGAUAACUCCGGGAAACCGGGGCUAAUACCGGAUAACAUUUUGAACCGCAUGGUUCGAAAUUGAAAGGCGGCUUCGGCUGUCACUUAUGGAUGGACCCGCGUCGCAUUAGCUAGUUGGUGAGGUAACGGCUCACCAAGGCAACGAUGCGUAGCCGACCUGAGAGGGUGAUCGGCCACACUGGGACUGAGACACGGCCCAGACUCCUACGGGAGGCAGCAGUAGGGAAUCUUCCGCAAUGGACGAAAGUCUGACGGAGCAACGCCGCGUGAGUGAUGAAGGCUUUCGGGUCGUAAAACUCUGUUGUUAGGGAAGAACAAGUGCUAGUUGAAUAAGCUGGCACCUUGACGGUACCUAACCAGAAAGCCACGGCUAACUACGUGCCAGCAGCCGCGGUAAUACGUAGGUGGCAAGCGUUAUCCGGAAUUAUUGGGCGUAAAGCGCGCGCAGGUGGUUUCUUAAGUCUGAUGUG